GUCCCUGUAGCUCAGUUGGAUAGAGCAUUUGCCUUCUAAGCAAAGGGUCACCUGUUCAAAUCAGGUCAGGGACGCCA
Molecule: transfer RNA, 77 nt
Filed under: Candidatus Omnitrophota bacterium
Lineage: Bacteria; Pseudomonadati; Candidatus Omnitrophota
Description: tRNA-Arg
Rfam family: tRNA
About the family: Transfer RNA (tRNA) molecules are approximately 80 nucleotides in length.
Source: RNAcentral